Long non-coding RNA from Loxodonta africana (African savanna elephant), 1388 nucleotides. RefSeq lists it as uncharacterized. The transcript has 3 exons. The record is from RefSeq and is a predicted model, not a curated record. Lineage: Eukaryota; Metazoa; Chordata; Mammalia; Proboscidea; Elephantidae.
GGAAAAUAUCCAUGACUUUAUUUACUUCUCGGGUUAAAUGAAGAAAUAUGUGGCUCUGUCUCUUUUAUAAUAGUUGUUAAAUUCUUUUGAUUUCAAAGUCCUAGGAAUAUCUGCUGGAGCUAGUAGAGUGGGUGAAUGUAAAAAUUCUUGUUUUAAAACUCUCUAUUUCACUCUAGAGCUGAAUAUUCUGCUCUGUAGGUACAGAAGGAUUCUGGGAUUCUUUUUGAAAUUUGUCAAUCUAUUAUUAACAUCUAAAAUUUUGAUGUUUCCUAGUCCACAACCUAAGAAAAAAAUGAAAAUGGCUUCUCUCACCAAACUCUGUCUUUCCUACAAACCAUGCAGCCCUACAUUUUUAUUAUAGGUGAUUCUUAGCACUAAUGGCCAUACUCUUAACUCUUGGUUGGCGAGUUGUAGUGGCUUAAAAAGAAUUGCCAUCUUUCUGCUUUAUUUCAGGUUGUCUGGUCCAUUUCUUGUUUUAGAGGUUUGUAGUGUUGGGAGAUAACUGAGAGGUUAUCUCGACUGUUUUCCAGUGUCAUACGGAAGGCCUAUCUGUUCUUCUACACUAUGUGGAAAGUAUGUACAGCAGCCUUCACCACAAAGGAAGUUAAAGAUGUAACGUGCAGGGUGAGUAAGUAUUACCGGCAUCAUUUUAUAGACAAAACAGCAGGAACUCACAGCCAAGCAGAUGUCCUAGAAGGACCCAGGGGGACUGCAAGGUUCCUAAUUGCCUCGUUUCAUAGUGUAAGGAGGGUUGUUUUCAUAAAUAUUAUAUAUGGAUGUCACAAAGAAAAACUACUGAGAAUGGAGUCCUCAGCUCCGGUAUUGGCCUGGGGAUCGGUCAGAUUGCAUGGGAUGACAGGAGACAAAAUGGAAGGCCUCUUAAGGACCUUUGGAUGAACCAGCCUCAAAACAUUAUGGACAACCUUGUAUGUGAUGAAACCUAGGGGCAGUGAGGAAGAUGUGCUUCUCCUGUGGCCCCAUCCUUGUUCCAAGGUAUGUUCUCUCAUCUAAGGGAAAGAAUACAAGAAGAAGGUGUGCAUGUAUUAGAACACAUUUCUUUAAGCCCUGGAUGGACAACUAACCUAGUUGGCUUGUUGGAUCACCGAUCAUUUAAUGCUGUCUGAACUUCAACUUUCUGUCAAAGAUGUUUACCUAUUAACUUCGAAAUACAUGAAAAGACCGUAAGUGCUAAGUAAUUUAAACAGAAUGUAAUUGUAUUACAGUGAUCAUGUGAGGGAUUUGUGACUGCUACAAUCAAAACGAGAAUAUUUAUGUCAUGGUUGUAGUUAAGUGUUCAUUUGCUUGUUUACUUAUUUAUUGCCUUUCUCUCCCAGUAGACUGUAAACUCCUGGAGGGCAGGGACCAUGCCUGUUCCAGGGAUCGCUGUA